This 341-nucleotide unclassified non-coding RNA is filed under the name soil metagenome. RNAcentral describes it as "partial contains 5.8S ribosomal RNA, internal transcribed spacer 2, and large subunit ribosomal RNA". The stretch from base 1 to 120 matches the Rfam family "5.8S ribosomal RNA", at positions 35 to 154 of the family's 154-position model. The record is from RNAcentral.
GAUGAAGAACGUAGCGAAAUGCGAUAAGUAGUGUGAAUUGCAGAAUUCAGUGAAUCAUCGAAUCUUUGAACGCACAUUGCGCCCUUUGGUAUUCCAAAGGGCAUGCCUGUUCGAGCGUCAUUUGUACCCUCAAGCUUUGCUUGGUGUUGGGCGUCUUGUCUCUAGCUUUGCUGGAGACUCGCCUUAAAGUAAUUGGCAGCCGGCCUACUGGUUUCGGAGCGCAGCACAAGUCGCACUCUCUAUCAGCAAAGGUCUAGCAUCCAUUAAGCCUUUUUUUCAACUUUUGACCUCGGAUCAGGUAGGGAUACCCGCUGAACUUAAGCAUAUCAAUAAGCGGAGGU